AUUCACCAAAAACGAUCUCGAGUGCAUUCAUCAUAAAGCGAGGUUAAAGUACUAAGACCGUAAAAACUUCGGGUUCCGCCAAAUCUUCUCAAACAUCUGACUGCCCUCUCCCGCCACCCCCUCUCCAGGGCUCCGGGAGAGAUUCUCCUCAGCCUAGCGACCCGGCAUUUAAGGACGCAGGAGCCAGCGGGGGACCUUCGGACUUCUCCAGCCGUGUUCCUGCAAGCGGAGAAUUUUCCACCCGGGCUCCAGAAGAGGCAGACCCCCAACCACCACCCCGGCCCGACCCAUCCCGCCACGGGAUCAUCUCAGCUCCGAGCCGAGCGCCUUCUGUGGGGGCAGCUAGACCGGCUCUUGUUCCUGAGGGCCAGAUCCAGCCGCUUAUUGGAUGUCUCCACCGCGAGGCCGAGCAGAGAACAGAAUUGAUUGUGGCAUCUGCCUUCCACCACCACCAGCCUGCUCCUCCCCGUGUGGUUCCCUGCUUUGAUGAGCAGACGCGGCCCUCUACUGCACUAACUUGAGUGCUUCCUCUGUCUCUCUCCUUCUCCCGACCCUACUACAUCAAGUCACUUCCACCUGAACCUACCCAGGGGGACUCUCGUCCCUUCCUAGCCUGGCCGCUCGCUUCCUUCCAGUCACUCUGCUGUCCACUUUCAACCUUCACACUUGUGGCCCGGAUCCUCUUUUUAAAAAAACACAGGCACUGGAAUUGUCUCAAGCCCUGCUUCUCCGUGGCUCAGCUUAAAAGAGUUGGUACCCGGUGUGGUCCUAAGAAGCAGAGUCUAAGGAUAGGAUUUCAGGUGCUUACUAGGAUGCUGACAGCUGUGUGAUGACCAUUAUCUUGGGGGAGGUGGAUGGGAGAGUGGUAGAUGGGGGUGCAUUGGCUUAUUCAAUCUCUCUGGUGUUUGAGGACGUGGGGGAAAUUUUUUAAAACAGAAAUUAGGUGGCUACUGAUGCUUGAAAGAGGCAAAACAACUGCCUCUAGGCACUCUCUUAACCAAUAUACAGCAAAGCCAGAAGGAUCUGCUUAGCAGCCUGUUAAGCAGCAGUCACCUGCAGUCAGAGGGCAGAGAGUUCUGAGGACCAGGCUCAGGCUCACAGAAAAGGAGCUAAAACUUUGGGACUUCCCUGGUGGUCCAGUGGUUGAGUAUCCGCCUGCCAGAACAGGGCACGUGGGUUUGAUCCCUGCCCGGAAGACUCCAUGUGCUGCGGGGCAACUAAGCCGGCGUUUCCACAGCUACUGAGGCCCGUGCUCUAGAGCCUGUGCUCGGCAACAAGAGAAGCCACCACGGUGAGAAGCCGGAGCACCGCAACCAGAAAGUAGCCCCUGCUCGCCACAACUAGAGAAAGCCUUCACACAGCAACGAAGACCCAGCACAGCCAUAAAUACAUUAAAAAUAAUUUUUUUAAAAAGGAGCUGAACUUUAGAAAUGGUCAACUUCUUAGUCAUGGUUACUCGCCAACACCACAGUCAGGGCUCUGAUAAGGAAGAGGUGGGACCCUGAGACUAAGGAUGAAAACCUAAGUGGUAGAACCUCAGACUCAUCUGAAGCUCUGGGGCCUGUAGAAGAGGCCCGCUCCCAUCCCACCCCCACGACCUGAAGACCACGCAGAAGCCUCGAAGGAGGCAGGUACCCCACAAGACCAUGCGCUCUCCAGGAUCUGCCCCAAAGCCUCACCUGGCUACUAGACCGAUCACUAAGAUUGGACCUCACUGGGACUUCCCUGAUCCAGUGGUUAAGACAGACUUCCAGUGCCGAGGACUCACGUUCGAUCCCACAUGCCUCGGGCCAGCUAAGCCCAUGAGCCACAACUAUAAGACCCAACAC
This is a long non-coding RNA of Bos taurus (domestic cattle), 1829 nucleotides long. NCBI's taxonomy places the organism in Eukaryota, Metazoa, Chordata, Mammalia, Artiodactyla, Bovidae. The record is from Ensembl.